This 68-nucleotide small RNA is filed under the name Salix viminalis (osier). Lineage: Eukaryota; Viridiplantae; Streptophyta; Magnoliopsida; Malpighiales; Salicaceae. The record is from RNAcentral.
AAAAAUCUGGGUCAAAUCCACUACAAAUGUAAAAUAAAACGUAUAUAGUGGACUGGGCCUAGCUCUAA